UUUUGAAUAAAAUUGUUUGAA
RNAcentral lists this non-coding RNA (21 nucleotides) under Caenorhabditis elegans. The record is from RNAcentral. Lineage: Eukaryota; Metazoa; Nematoda; Chromadorea; Rhabditida; Rhabditidae.